This 444-nucleotide ribosomal RNA is filed under the name uncultured bacterium. Its description in RNAcentral is "bacterial SSU rRNA". It matches the Rfam family "Bacterial small subunit ribosomal RNA", at positions 331 to 792 of the family's 1533-position model. The record is from RNAcentral.
CCAGACUCCUACGGGAGGCAGCAGUGGGGAAUAUUGCACAAUGGGGGAAACCCUGAUGCAGCGACGCCGCGUGAGCGAUGAAGUAUUUCGGUAUGUAAAGCUCUAUCAGCAGGGAAGAAGAUGACGGUACCUGACUAAGAAGCCCCGGCUAACUACGUGCCAGCAGCCGCGGUAAUACGUAGGGGGCAAGCGUUAUCCGGAUUCACUGGGUGUAAAGGGAGCGUAGACGGCGACGCAAGUCUGGAGUGAAAGCCCGGGGCCCAACCCCGGGACUGCUCUGGAAACUGCGUCGCUGGAGUACGGGAGGGGCAGGCGGAAUUCCUGGUGUAGCGGUGAAAUGCGUAGAUAUCAGGAGGAACACCGGCGGCGAAGGCGGCCUGCUGGACCGUGACUGACGUUGAGGCUCGAGAGCGUGGGGAGCAAACAGGAUUAGAUACCCCAGUA